UACAGAGGUCUCAACCGUUGUUCGGAUUCAUUGGGCGUAAAGGGUGCGUAGGCGGUCGUGCAAGUCGGAUGUGAAAUCUCAGGGCUCAACCCUGAAACUGCAUUCGAUACUGCGUGGCUAGAGUGCUGGAGAGGAGACUGGAAUUUACGGUGUAGCAGUGAAAUGCGUAGAUAUCGUAAGGAAGACCAGUGGCGAAGGCGAGUCUCUGGACAGCAACUGACGCUGAAGCACGAAGGCCAGGGGAGCAAACGGGG
This 254-nucleotide ribosomal RNA is filed under the name uncultured bacterium. RNAcentral's name for it is "partial 16S ribosomal RNA". It matches the Rfam family "Bacterial small subunit ribosomal RNA", at positions 524 to 777 of the family's 1533-position model. The record is from RNAcentral.